CUUGACCGACCCCAGGAGCAGCGGCUUGUCCGCCGAUCGCUCCUGGCCGUACGUGGCGAGCAGGGCCUGGGCCUC
Molecule: antisense RNA, 75 nt
Filed under: Streptomyces atratus
Lineage: Bacteria; Bacillati; Actinomycetota; Actinomycetes; Kitasatosporales; Streptomycetaceae
Description: ASpks TB sRNA
Rfam family: ASpks TB sRNA
Source: RNAcentral